Molecule: ribosomal RNA, 453 nt
Filed under: uncultured bacterium
Lineage: Bacteria
Description: bacterial SSU rRNA
Rfam family: Bacterial small subunit ribosomal RNA
Source: RNAcentral
ACUCCUACGGGAGGCAGCAGUGGGGAAUAUUGCGCAAUGGGCGGAAGCCUGACGCAGCGACGCCGCGUGGGGAUGACGGCCUUCGGGUUGUAAACCUCUUUCGACCGGGACGAAGCCGUGGUGACGGUACCGGUAGAAGAAGCACCGGCCAACUACGUGCCAGCAGCCGCGGUAACACGUAGGGUGCGAGCGUUGUCCGGAAUUAUUGGGUUUAAAGGGUCCGUAGGCGGGUUAAUAAGUCAGUGGUGAAAUCCCAUCGCUUAACGAUGGAACUGCCAUUGAUACUGUUAGUCUUGAAUGAGGGUGCAGUGGUUGGAAUGUGUAGUGUAGCGGUGAAAUGCAUAGAUAUUACACAGAACACCGAUUGCGAAGGCAGAUCACUAACCCUAAAUUGACGCUGAGGGACGAAAGCGUGGGGAGCGAACAGGAUUAGAUACCCUGGUAGCUACGAGU